GGAUCCAGGUGAAGCAGUUUGUAGAAGAAUUAUGGAGUCUCAGAGGGUGGGAAGACAGAGUAAGUCAGCAGUGUCCUAUGACAGGCAGAGGACAGAUUGCAGCUACCGUGCCUGGAGCAGCAGGUACAGGCAGGCUGGGCCCCAGUGAAGAGAUGGACAAAAGAGAAACUGAGGUCUUCUGCAAGCAAAGAACCGUUAACAAAGCUGGUCAGAGACCCCAGAGAAAGGGGGGCCCUCUCUUGUCACACAGGGAGGGAGGGGGAUGUUACAAUUGGCUAUACUGAGAAAAGCGGGUUGGCAUGCAGCUGUGGCCCAUCACAGCGCUCUCUGACAACAGAAACGUUCAUCUUGUCCCCUCGGAGGAAAUCAAACCUCCCCAACUGCACAAGGACAGACAAGAACAGAAGGCUUGCCAGGGCAGGGGAGGGAGGGGGGCACCAGCUUCAGCCGCUUGGGGCUUAUGGACGUUCCUAGGGCUCAGGUGCAGAGAUCACAGCAGAGGAGAGGGCAGUGUCCUUGGAAUCAGCAGGACCUGACUUCAAAACUCUCACUCCUGGCGUGACCCGAGAAGAUGAGUGGGGUAGACUUGAAUGUGCCUGCUGGCCCUCCACCUCUGAUUAACUGAAGGGAUGGAGAUGUGGAGCUCGAAGAAGAGAAGGCUCGUGGAAAAGGAAGGCAGGAAGGGGUCCUAUCAGAUCCUCACAACGACCCUGUGAGAACUUGGGCCCUUUUGGGAGCCAGACACAGAGCCCAGCUGGAACCAUCUGGUCACGUGGGGAAGGAUGGGCCAAUAGGCGAGCGACUUCGGCCCCGCCUCGCGGGAUCUUCCUGGGCGUCAACACUUUCCCGCCUACCCUGGGACCCAGCUCAGGACCAUGGGCAUCAGCCUGUUCUUCCUGCUCUGCCAUGGGUUCUCUCUCACAGAGCUGUGCCAGGUCUGGGAGGGCAUCCUAGGUCUACAGGCGCUCCCACCCCCCAGGAUUUUCUUGGAGCCCACGUUUCCGGUAAAGCUCGGGGACUUGGUGAAGUACGAGUGUGUGGGGGCCUACGGCUCAUUGCAGUGCCUCCUACUCCGAGUGGAUCGUCCAGGAAUGAGUCCUAGGGUGGUGUUCCGAGAGGAUGCCAUUUGGGAAGGAAGGGUAGGCUGGUUCUUCAUGGACAACGUCGCCGCCCAGCACACGGGGAUCUACACCUGUGUCUAUUACUUCAACGGGUUCUAUUCCAAGAACAGUAAUGAGCUGCCACUGAUCAUAAGAGAUGUCUUAGAGAGCCCCUUCCUUUGGGUCUCUCCCUCCACCUCAACCUUCUUUGGCCAGAGCUUGACCUUCCACUGUAACUCCACCUUAGCCUUGGACAAGUACUAUUUGUAUCAUGGCUCCAUCGAAGCCGAAAAUCCGUUUAUUGAGUCCCUGAACAGCUCGGCACACGAAGGUCAAUUCUACUACCCAUAUGUGCACAGAUAUGUGCUGGGCCAGUAUCUGUGCAUGGCGUACAACUCCCAGAACCCCUACCUCUGGACGGGCAUCAGUAACAAGUUGCUGAUCACUGCUGGAGCCCCUCCUUUCCUGUUUGCUCCCGGGCCUCAUCUCAUCCACAUGGCUCUGACCUCAGCCGCCCUCGGAGAGCUGCUGGCCUAGGCUGGGCUGUAAGGGAUGCUGUGGAGGGCAGCAGCAUCCAGGGGGCUGGAGGUGGUCCCACCCUCACACCUCCCUCCACCCAUCUGUGAAAAGCAGAAUAAAAAGGUGAUUGUCCAUCCGAGCUGUGUGGCU
Phascolarctos cinereus (koala) is the source of this 1769-nucleotide long non-coding RNA. The record is from Ensembl. NCBI's taxonomy places the organism in Eukaryota, Metazoa, Chordata, Mammalia, Diprotodontia, Phascolarctidae.